This 620-nucleotide long non-coding RNA is filed under the name Amborella trichopoda. Its description in RNAcentral is "long non-coding RNA (ATRI_LNC003016)". The record is from RNAcentral. Lineage: Eukaryota; Viridiplantae; Streptophyta; Magnoliopsida; Amborellales; Amborellaceae.
GACUCGCCCGAUGUUUUGAACCUUGAGUUCAUUGUGACUUUUACACGAUUUCUCUUAUUUAAAUUAGGAAAGAAAUCUUCAAUCUUUUGCUAAUAAUUUUUUAUGAAAAAUGAUCUUAUAGGACCCCCCACUACCCAUGUAUAUAGAGCCCUAAUGAAGCACCAUUAAAUUUGACACGGAUCUAUAGAAAAAUCAAGUCCUGUAUCAUAUGAUAACUUUUUUAGAAAUCCAUACCAACUUUAAUGGUGAUUCUUUAGAAUCCUACACACAUAGGUGGGGGAGGAUCUUAUAGGAUCAUUAUUCAUUUUUUAUAUUAAUCAUUUAGUUUUCCCUCGCAUUUCCAAAUUUUCAAGCUCGCUCAUUUUCAAGAAAAUAUCAUUAAAAUUGCUGAAUCGCAUCAAAAUUCAGAAAGGUGGUGAAAUCACCUUGUUUAUCACUAUUGCGGUCACUCUAAUAAGAUCAUUUCACUCAAAUAUCUAGUUAUUUAAAGUUUAUAUAAGGAUGCAACCUUAUAAAGUAGAACUACGGAUGCACUUCAAAAAUCUAUCGGAAAAGGUAGUUUUAAUGUUGAAAAGCCCUUUGAUUGAUCAUCUCGACAUCGAGAUAUAUGAACAUGAGAA